AGAGCGCAAGCUGGAGCUAAUCCCUAAAAGCCGGCCUCAGUGAGGAUUGCAGGCUGCAACCCGCCUGCAUGAAUGCGGAGCUGCUAGUAACCGCAGGUCAGCAUACUGCGGUGAAUACGUUCCCGGGCCUUGUACACACCGCCCGUCACGUCAUGGAAGUCGACAACACCUGAAGUCCGCGUACUAACCCGCCGCAAGGCGGGAGGCAGCGGCCGAGGGUGGGGCCGGUAACUGGGACGAAGUCGUAACAAGGUAGCUGUACCGGAAGGUGCGGCUGGAUCACCUCCUUUCUAGGGAGCA
This 300-nucleotide ribosomal RNA is filed under the name Chloroflexota bacterium. RNAcentral describes it as "Chloroflexi bacterium (groundwater metagenome) partial 16S ribosomal RNA". It matches the Rfam family "Bacterial small subunit ribosomal RNA", at positions 1252 to 1533 of the family's 1533-position model. Lineage: Bacteria; Bacillati; Chloroflexota. The record is from RNAcentral.